RNAcentral lists this ribosomal RNA (478 nucleotides) under uncultured bacterium. RNAcentral's name for it is "partial 16S ribosomal RNA". It matches the Rfam family "Bacterial small subunit ribosomal RNA", at positions 28 to 523 of the family's 1533-position model. The record is from RNAcentral.
GACGAACGCUGGCGGCGUGCUUAACACAUGCAAGUCGAGCGAUGAAGCUCCUUCGGGAGCGGAUUAGCGGCGGACGGGUGAGUAACACGUGGGUAACCUGCCUCAUAGAGGGGAAUAGCCUUACGAAAGGAAGAUUAAUACCGCAUAAUGUUGAAAGAUGGCAUCAUCAUUCAACCAAAGGAGCAAUCCGCUAUGAGAUGGACCCGCGGCGCAUUAGCGAGUUGGUGGGGUAACGGCCUACCAAGGCGACGAUGCGUAGCCGACCUGAGAGGGUGAUCGGCCACAUUGGGACUGAGACACGGCCCAGACUCCUACGGGAGGCAGCAGUGGGGAAUAUUGCACAAUGGGGGAAACCCUGAUGCAGCAACGCCGCGUGAGUGAUGAAGGUUUUCGGAUCGUAAAGCUCUGUCUUUGGGGAAGAUAAUGACGGUACCCAAGGAGGAAGCCACGGCUAACUACGUGCCAGCAGCCGCGGUAA